RNAcentral lists this transfer-messenger RNA (370 nucleotides) under Rhodospirillales bacterium. RNAcentral's name for it is "partial transfer-messenger RNA". It matches the Rfam family "Alphaproteobacteria transfer-messenger RNA". From Rfam's summary of the family: Bacterial tmRNA, also known as 10Sa RNA or SsrA, is named for its dual tRNA and mRNA-like properties. Its role is to liberate the mRNA from a stalled ribosome. To accomplish this part of the tmRNA is used as a reading frame that ends in a translation stop signal. The record is from RNAcentral. Lineage: Bacteria; Pseudomonadati; Pseudomonadota; Alphaproteobacteria; Rhodospirillales.
UCUCUUUCACAUUCUGCGAUUCGGCACUAUAUGAACCUCGUCAGCUUGCUGACUAUGGCGAUAAACGGUGCGUGGAAUAAGCGUUGUGGACCCGGGGGCGGUACCCGGCGCCUCCAUAUCUCUGGUAGCCCAAGGGCUGCCGCGCGGCCCGAUUCAGACGACGCGGCUUUGCCACUUUGUCAUCGGGACGCGGUCCGGGGGUUUACGGGGGCGAAAUAGACUCGACACGCGUGGUAAAGACCCAUCUUUUGCCCGGCAUUGUACCGCCGUUAUCGGGCUAAUUUUUAAAUGCGAACGAUAACAACGUAGCAUUCGCUGUCGCUGCCUAAUUAGCAGCUAAGCGCGGUUCGGGGGGCACCGGGCAACAGAA